Molecule: ribosomal RNA, 502 nt
Filed under: uncultured bacterium
Lineage: Bacteria
Description: partial 16S ribosomal RNA
Rfam family: Bacterial small subunit ribosomal RNA
Source: RNAcentral
AUUGAACGCUGGCGGAAUGCUUUACACAUGCAAGUCGAACGGCAGCACGGGAGCUUGCUCCUGGUGGCGAGUGGCGAACGGGUGAGUAAUGCAUCGGAACGUACCUAUUAGUGGGGGAUAACUAUCCGAAAGGAUAGCUAAUACCGCAUACGUCCUGAGGGAGAAAGCGGGGGAUCGCAAGACCUCGCGCUAAUAGAGCGGCCGAUGUUGGAGUAGCUAGUUGGUGGGGUAAAGGCCUACCAAGGCGACGAUCCAUAGCUGGUCUGAGAGGAUGAUCAGCCACACUGGGACUGAGGCACGGCCCAGACUCCUACGGGAGGCAGCAGUGGGGAAUUUUGGACAAUGGGGGCAACCCUGAUCCAGCCAUUCCGCGUGAGUGAAGAAGGCCUUCGGGUUGUAAAGCUCUUUCGGCAGGAACGAAACGGUGGUUACUAAUACUAGCUACUAAUGACGGUACCUGAAGAAGAAGCACCGGCUAACUACGUGCCAGCCGCCGCGGUAA